RNAcentral lists this ribosomal RNA (468 nucleotides) under uncultured bacterium. RNAcentral describes it as "partial 16S ribosomal RNA". It matches the Rfam family "Bacterial small subunit ribosomal RNA", at positions 28 to 507 of the family's 1533-position model. The record is from RNAcentral.
GACGAACGCUGGCGGCGUGCUUAACACAUGCAAGUCGAACGGAAAGGCCCUGCUUUUGUGGGGUGCUCGAGUGGCGAACGGGUGAGUAACACGUGAGUAACCUGCCCUUGACUUUGGGAUAACUUCAGGAAACUGGGGCUAAUACCGGAUAGGAGCUCCUGCUGCAUGGUGGGGGUUGGAAAGUUUCGGCGGUUGGGGAUGGACUCGCGGCUUAUCAGCUUGUUGGUGGGGUAGUGGCUUACCAAGGCUUUGACGGGUAGCCGGCCUGAGAGGGUGACCGGCCACAUUGGGACUGAGAUACGGCCCAGACUCCUACGGGAGGCAGCAGUGGGGAAUAUUGCACAAUGGGCGGAAGCCUGAUGCAGCAACGCCGCGUGCGGGAUGACGGCCCUCGGGUUGUAAACCGCUUUCGCCUGUGACGAAGCGUGAGUGAUGGUAAUGGGUAAAGAAGCACCGGCUAACUACGUG